ACCUUCGUGGUGUAGUGGUCAGCACGCUCGGCGCGUAUUCGAGAGGUCCGUGGUUCGAGUCCCGGCGAGAGCA
This 73-nucleotide transfer RNA is filed under the name Stegodyphus mimosarum. It matches the Rfam family "tRNA". From Rfam's summary of the family: Transfer RNA (tRNA) molecules are approximately 80 nucleotides in length. Their secondary structure includes four short double-helical elements and three loops (D, anti-codon, and T loops). Lineage: Eukaryota; Metazoa; Arthropoda; Arachnida; Araneae; Eresidae. The record is from Rfam by way of RNAcentral.